Molecule: ribosomal RNA, 187 nt
Filed under: uncultured Bacteroidales bacterium
Lineage: Bacteria; Pseudomonadati; Bacteroidota; Bacteroidia; Bacteroidales
Description: partial 16S ribosomal RNA
Rfam family: Bacterial small subunit ribosomal RNA
Source: RNAcentral
ACCGUUGAAAGACGGACUAAUGCCCUAUGCAGUCCUUUGACGGCAUCAGAUUAGGACUAAAGAUUCAUCGGUAUGGGAUGGGGAUGCGUCUGAUUAGCUUGUUGGCGGGGUAACGGCCCACCAAGGCAUCGAUCAGUAGGGGUUCUGAGAGGAAGGUCCCCCACAUAGGAACUGAGACACGGUCCUA